RNAcentral lists this ribosomal RNA (441 nucleotides) under uncultured bacterium. RNAcentral describes it as "partial 16S ribosomal RNA". It matches the Rfam family "Bacterial small subunit ribosomal RNA", at positions 338 to 795 of the family's 1533-position model. The record is from RNAcentral.
CCUACGGGGAGCAGCAGUCGAGAAUCAUUCACAAUGGGGGAAACCCUGAUGGUGCGACGCCGCGUGGGGGAAUGAAGUAUUUCGGUAUGUAAAGCUCUAUCAGCAGGGAAGAAGAUGACGGUACCUGACUAAGAAGCCCCGGCUAACUACGUGCCAGCAGCCGCGGUAAUACGUAGGGGGCAGGCGUUAUCCGGAUUUACUGGGUGUAAAGGGAGCGUAGACGGCGAUGCAAGCCAGAUGUGAAAGCCCGGGGCUCAACCCCGGGACUGCAUUUGGAACUGUGUGGCUGGAGUGUCGGAGAGGCAGGCGGAAUUCCUAGUGUAGCGGUGAAAUGCGUAGAUAUUAGGAGGAACACCAGUGGCGAAGGCGGCCUGCUGGACGAUGACUGACGUUGAGGCUCGAAAGCGUGGGGAGCAAACAGGAUUAGAUACCCCAGUAGUC